Long non-coding RNA from Syzygium oleosum, 1142 nucleotides. RefSeq lists it as uncharacterized. The transcript has 2 exons. NCBI's taxonomy places the organism in Eukaryota, Viridiplantae, Streptophyta, Magnoliopsida, Myrtales, Myrtaceae. The record is from RefSeq and is a predicted model, not a curated record.
UGGGAAUGACUUUCCCAAGUGCCUUUGAGCGUCCAAAGCUCCUUGAGCCAAAUAUUGAGUGUUCGGUAAAAUUUUUAGAACCCACCUUGAGAAAAAGUCGGCCUUGAGAAGGCUGAAAGCCCAAGGCAGGUGAGAAGGUGCCUUGGGCUUUUCAGCUUUCUCGGCAUGCAGCUCCAUAGGAUAAGUAAACUUUUUUAGUUGCAUUUUUGCCCUCAAAUAUUUAUUAAAAUUCCAACUUUAGCCUUUUGUAAAAAUAGAAACCCUAGAUCUACAAGCAGCCGCUCCCUCCGUCUCCCUCACUCAACGGAGACUCCCACCUCCCUUAAUAAUCGGUGGUUUGAUGGCUUCGAAUCAAGCCAGUCUUCUCCUCCUGAAGCAACUCCGAGGUCCAAUUCUGACUCUGAUUUCGCCUUCCUUUUUUAGGGUUUCUUUUCUGUUCUUUUCUCGCAGUCGUGGAACGCGUGGGUGUCGGUGAUUGGUUGCAGAUCUUUGUAGGAACCCGGUGGAUGGGUUCUCCGCAGGGUUGGUGGACGAGACCAGCGUGUUCGAGUAGAGCGUCUCCAUAAUUGGUCCUCCCGACACUCUAUAGAUGAUGACUAUGGCUAUUUCGCGUGGAUUCAACUCCACAUUUGGCGACAAAGAGAUGAUUUCCUAAUUGAAGUUUGAGAAGGAAUUGAUGGCUUAGAGAGUAGAAAUGGUGGAAAACAAGCUGAGUAUCACUGAGCAACAGUCCAACACAGUAUGUUGCUGGAAAGGACUAAGCAUGUGGUGAACAUGAGACAACAAUGUGCAAGUUUAAGCCUUGAGAUUGACAAAAAGGGAGAGACAGACAGAAAAUAUGGUCAUACUGAGUGACCGUUGCUGAAACAACGAUGUUGGUUUCUCCCCGAUCGUUGCUUUUUGUGUGACCAUUUCUGAAACAACGAUGUUGGUUUCUACUUGGUCGUUGCUUUUUGUGGGAGGGAUUCUCCCAAGACAUAAGGGAAUUGUACUAGUGAAUGUGGGUUUUUUUUUUGUCAAAUUGAUGGGUUGAUGUAUGUUAAACACUUGUGGUGUUGCACAAUGAUUAAUGCACAAAUGUGGUUUGUUCUAGCAUCCAUUUCUAGUAGAUAAUCACAUGAGAAUGUUGGUGGUUGCUAUCA